Molecule: long non-coding RNA, 433 nt
Organism: Chinchilla lanigera (long-tailed chinchilla)
Lineage: Eukaryota; Metazoa; Chordata; Mammalia; Rodentia; Chinchillidae
Exons: 3
Source: RefSeq, a predicted model, not a curated record
AGAAGCUGCGGUGGGAGAGGCGCUGAAGCACGAAGAGCCUAUGUGGGGAGGAGCCGGGCAGCUUCCUCUGGGAACACGGAGUCCGGUGAGGCUACCACAAGGAGCGCCUUCAGCCGAACUCCCCGGAAAGCAGGUCCUGCGCACAGAGGGACACAGCGCUGUGCAGGCGAGGGGGACAGCGCAGGAGAGCGCCACCAACAGGAAGCACGGUGCUGAGCGUGUGCUCUCUUCCCAGGCUGUCAUAUGAAUGGAAUUGCACGGCAUCACCUCCACACCUGACUUCCCUCAGCAGCACUGCGAUGUGACGCUGGUUUGUCAUGGGUGCAUCUACGGUUUACCCUUUUCACUCCAUGGGUGUCCUGCAGCCUUUUCAUCCAUUCUCCAGUGGAAGAAAAUGUGGGGUCUUGCUAUGCCGUUCAGGCUGGUCUUGAGC